UUUCCAGCUCUGUUUAGAUCACUUCUUGUUUGAGUUAAUUUCGGGUUCAUUUAGCUCAUUGGUGAAUAUUUUCACGGCGAAUUCGGAGGCUUUGUGUAUGGUCUUCAUGAAUAAUUUAUAGUUCUGCCCCAUUGACGACUGAGAAAUAACACAUUCUGAGUGGAUUCAAAGGGUGUACUGUCAAGAUGUCCUGCAGUGUGUUGACAAGGUUAAGGCUUCCAUAACCUCGGUGUUUGGCAAGAUCCUAAAAAACGAUUCAACCAGGGUCUAUCUUGGAAGCUGCUCAUGAUCUUCCCGAUGAAACUCAGGAGUGCAUUGGCCCCGACAACAUAAAAGGUCUCGAUGAGGUCCAUGACUUGGCGGCCUGUCUUGUUAUCCUGCAUAAACAAGAUAGAGCAAUAGACAACAGCCAAGCAGACAACAUCACAAGACUGUGGGCUGCUUUGUAAGAAUAUGACAAAAGACCCACUGUAUUUACACCACCUUUCAUCAGUUCCUCUCCAAGAAGAAGGUUUAAGGCCUCGAAGUCAACUGUUGCUCCUGGAGUCAAAGCUACCUGCCACUGCUUCCUCAGUCAAAACACUGGGCCUGCCCAGCGACCAGAUAUUAAUCGGUACAUGGAGACUAUUACCAAUAAACUUUGUGCUGUCUACACUGGAAAUGUGCUUGAAAAAGGAGUUAGAGUGUUGAGGUGGCCCCUUAUCCUGAGGACCCACCAAAACAUCAAAACCCUGUUAGUUCAGUGCUCCAAACACGGAGCACUGAACGGAAAUUCAGUUGAUUGACAUAAAUCAGUCUACUCUAACGCAAUGGCCCUCCACCAAUGGGAUUACAUUGACCAGGACCAGAGGACCAGCAGGACCAGAGUUGCUUCUGAAUCAUUGCCCUAAAAACAGUUUUUGAAUGCCCAGGCAUAAUUUGCUACUCUGUAUAGUUAAUAAUUUAGGAUAACCUAAAGUACAUAAUUAUAUAAUUAUAUUACUUAACAAAACUGUUCAGAGUAAUUCACAUUUGUAUCAAUCUUGUACCGAUGAAUAACAUUGUACAUGUAAAAAUUACCUACAAUAAUAUUAUAAAAUGAUUUAUGGUACCAUUUGAGUUGUAUUUUAAUUAUGUUUCUCACCUUUUAAAGGUCACUGUUCCUGGGUUGAUGGUUUGCAUAUGCACUGAAGUAGGUUUAUGCAUGAAGCAACCAGUGUGUUUUGAAUUGUCCCUGUAAAGUACAAGAUAAUACUUCGCUCUCUUUGAAUGCCAAGGGAAGUAUAUUCUAAAAAUCAAUGCACUCUCUGAUCCAUCACUGGCUGUUUCAUUGUGUAUUCUUGUGUAUGAACAAUAUGCCAUGCACAAACUUGUGAUAAACUUAUUCUCCUCAUCCGAACCACUGGUGAAGUCAUAGG
Molecule: long non-coding RNA, 1397 nt
Organism: Orbicella faveolata
Lineage: Eukaryota; Metazoa; Cnidaria; Anthozoa; Scleractinia; Merulinidae
Source: RefSeq, a predicted model, not a curated record